GACGAACGCUGGCGGCGUGCUUAACACAUGCAAGUCGAACGGAAGGGCCCCAGCUUGCUGGGGUACUCGAGUGGCGAACGGGUGAGUAACACGUGGGUGAUCUGCCCUGCACUCUGGGAUAAGCCUGGGAAACUGGGUCUAAUACCGGAUAGGACUGUGCUUUAGUGUGUGCGGUGGAAAGUUUUUCGGUGCAGGAUGAGCCCGCGGCCUAUCAGCUUGUUGGUGGGGUAAUGGCCUACCAAGGCGGCGACGGGUAGCCGGCCUGAGAGGGUGUACGGCCACAUUGGGACUGAGACACGGCCCAGACUCCUACGGAAGGCAGCAGUGGGGAAUAUUGCACAAUGGGCGCAAGCCUGAUGCAGCGACGCCGCGUGGGGGAUGACGGCCUUCGGGUUGUAAACCCCUUUCGGCAGGGACGAAGCUUUUGUGACGGUACCUGCAUAAGAAGCACCGGCUAACUACGUG
Molecule: ribosomal RNA, 465 nt
Filed under: uncultured bacterium
Lineage: Bacteria
Description: partial 16S ribosomal RNA
Rfam family: Bacterial small subunit ribosomal RNA
Source: RNAcentral